GUCGAGCGGCCCUACAAUACGGAGCAGCAGACGGGAGAGUUCACGUGGGAAGGAGAACUUCGGUUCGGAAUAACUCAGGGAAACUUGGGCUAAUACCUGACCCGCCCUUACGGGGAAAGAUUUAUUGCCGAAGGAACGGCCCGCGUCCGAUUAGCUUGUUGGUGAGGUAACGGCUCACCAAGGCGACGAUCGGUAGCUGGUCUGAGAGGAUGACCAGCCACACUGGGACUGAGACACGGCCCAGACUCCUACGGGAGGCAGCAGUGGG
RNAcentral lists this ribosomal RNA (268 nucleotides) under uncultured Hyphomicrobiales bacterium. Its description in RNAcentral is "uncultured Rhizobiales bacterium partial 16S ribosomal RNA". It matches the Rfam family "Bacterial small subunit ribosomal RNA", at positions 61 to 358 of the family's 1533-position model. The record is from RNAcentral. Lineage: Bacteria; Pseudomonadati; Pseudomonadota; Alphaproteobacteria; Hyphomicrobiales.